GUCGUGUUCUAAAAAAAUGGUAUUGCUAAAAAUUACUAGGAAAAUGAGAAGGCUUUCUUCAUAUGUAAUCCCCGUUUCAGAAUCCUUGGAAUUGACCCAAAAGGGGUAAGAGAAACAAAAUUCAAAAUCAUGCAGUUCAAAAGAAGGCUCGCAAUAUAUUUGUUUAAAUCUAAUGAAGUGUACAUUACAUUUAUGGAUUUUUAGGGUCA
This 209-nucleotide long non-coding RNA is filed under the name Mytilus galloprovincialis (Mediterranean mussel). The record is from RNAcentral. Lineage: Eukaryota; Metazoa; Mollusca; Bivalvia; Mytilida; Mytilidae.